Molecule: ribosomal RNA, 1434 nt
Filed under: uncultured bacterium
Lineage: Bacteria
Description: bacterial SSU rRNA
Rfam family: Bacterial small subunit ribosomal RNA
Source: RNAcentral
AGAGUUUGAUCCUGGCUCAGGAUGAACGCCGGCGGUGUGCCUAAUACAUGCAAGUCGUACGCACUGGCCCAACUGAUUGAUGGUGCUUGCACCUGAUUGACGAUGGAUCACCAGUGAGUGGCGGACGGGUGAGUAACACGUAGGUAACCUGCCUCGGAGCGGGGGAUAACAUUUGGAAACAGAUGCUAAUACCGCAUAACAACAAAAGCCACAUGGCUUUUGUUUGAAAGAUGGCUUUGGCUAUCACUCUGGGAUGGACCUGCGGUGCAUUAGCUAGUUGGUAAGGUAACGGCUUACCAAGGCAAUGAUGCAUAGCCGAGUUGAGAGACUGAUCGGCCACAAUGGAACUGAGACACGGUCCAUACUCCUACGGGAGGCAGCAGUAGGGAAUCUUCCACAAUGGGCGCAAGCCUGAUGGAGCAACACCGCGUGAGUGAAGAAGGGUUUCGGCUCGUAAAGCUCUGUUGUUGGAGAAGAACGUGCGUGAGAGUAACUGUUCACGCAGUGACGGUAUCCAACCAGAAAGUCACGGCUAACUACGUGCCAGCAGCCGCGGUAAUACGUAGGUGGCAAGCGUUAUCCGGAUUUAUUGGGCGUAAAGCGAGCGCAGGCGGUUGCUUAGGUCUGAUGUGAAAGCCUUCGGCUUAACCGAAGAAGUGCAUCGGAAACCGGGCGACUUGAGUGCAGAAGAGGACAGUGGAACUCCAUGUGUAGCGGUGGAAUGCGUAGAUAUAUGGAAGAACACCAGUGGCGAAGGCGGCUGUCUGGUCUGCAACUGACGCUGAGGCUCGAAAGCAUGGGUAGCGAACAGGAUUAGAUACCCUGGUAGUCCAUGCCGUAAACGAUGAGUGCUAGGUGUUGGAGGGUUUCCGCCCUUCAGUGCCGGAGCUAACGCAUUAAGCACUCCGCCUGGGGAGUACGACCGCAAGGUUGAAACUCAAAGGAAUUGACGGGGGCCCGCACAAGCGGUGGAGCAUGUGGUUUAAUUCGAAGCUACGCGAAGAACCUUACCAGGUCUUGACAUCUUGCGCUAACCUUAGAGAUAAGGCGUUCCCUUCGGGGACGCAAUGACAGGUGGUGCAUGGUCGUCGUCAGCUCGUGUCGUGAGAUGUUGGGUUAAGUCCCGCAACGAGCGCAACCCUUGUUACUAGUUGCCAGCAUUAAGUUGGGCACUCUAGUGAGACUGCCGGUGACAAACCGGAGGAAGGUGGGGACGACGUCAGAUCAUCAUGCCCCUUAUGACCUGGGCUACACACGUGCUACAAUGGACGGUACAACGAGUCGCAAGCUCGCGAGAGUAAGCUAAUCUCUUAAAGCCGUUCUCAGUUCGGACUGUAGGCUGCAACUCGCCUACACGAAGUCGGAAUCGCUAGUAAUCGCGGAUCAGCAUGCCGCGGUGAAUACGUUCCCGGGCCUUGCACACACCGCCCGUCA